UGUGAACUGCAGGACACAUGAACAUCGACAUUUUGAACGCACAUUGCGGCCAUGCUA
This 57-nucleotide ribosomal RNA is filed under the name Phlebotomus tobbi. RNAcentral describes it as "partial 5.8S ribosomal RNA". The record is from RNAcentral. Lineage: Eukaryota; Metazoa; Arthropoda; Insecta; Diptera; Psychodidae.